This is a long non-coding RNA of Tripterygium wilfordii, 2356 nucleotides long. RefSeq lists it as uncharacterized. NCBI's taxonomy places the organism in Eukaryota, Viridiplantae, Streptophyta, Magnoliopsida, Celastrales, Celastraceae. The record is from RefSeq and is a predicted model, not a curated record. The transcript is spliced from 3 exons.
GUACAGCUUCGACUCUUUCUUCUCUUAGACGCUCUCGACCGUCUCUAAAGAGAAUGACGAGUCUCUUCUCGUGAGAGUUUUAGUUUGUUUCCCGAUCUCCUCUCUUCUCAGUUCAAUGUUUUUCUUCUUUUUCGGUUGGCUAGUGUGGAGGAUCUAACUUUGAAGGGGAGUUAAAUUUUUCUUACAGUAGAAGAAGGUGAAGCUAUUUGCAUACCAGAUCUAGAUCCAAACGUCAACAAAUCUGUCUCAUAGUGCAGUAUUGUGGGGAAGAUCUUGAUGGAGCGGCCAAUCAAUAAAGCCAUCUUGGCUAAGACAAUGGGGAAUAUAUGGAAACUCUCGGGGAGUCCCUCUUUCAUGGAGGUAGGGCAGAAUACAUCUAUAAUAACUUUUUCUAAUAUUCGAGAUGCGAAAUGCAUAAUGGCAGGUCAUCCGUGGUCUUUUGACCAUCAUCUUUUUGUUCUAAAUCAGAUCGAUACUGCUAUCCCUAUUGAGGAAACGACAUUUGAUUCAGAGGUUUUUUGGGUUCAAAUCCACAACCUUCCUCUCAUGGCAAUGACGGACGCAGUAUGGAAGUAGAUUGGCUCUUCAUUGGGAGAGUUAAUAGAAGUUGAUGUGAAUAGUGAUGGGCUAGGCUGGGGGAUUUACCUCCGUGUUCGUGUUCAGAUCCAGCUGAAGAAUCCCUUACUUAGGGGGAAGCUCCUGAAACUUCCUCAGAAAGAUUUUAUGUUGGGCUUUUAAUAUGAAAAGCUCCCUCGGUUUUGUUUUAAAUGUAGGCGAAUUCUUCAUCACCAAAGGGUUUGCCCUAUUAGUACUGACGAUCGUCUUCAUCGGAACAAUAAUGGGGAUGAAUAUGGGCCCUGGUUGAGGGCUAGUCUGUAGAAUCGCAAAUCUCAAAAUACAGAUAGGCUUAAGACUUCUCAAUCUGAUUCUAUGGGUUUCUCAGCUGAAGAUACUUGUAGUGACCAUGAAGUUUUAGAAGGUGAUGAUGGUGUGUAUGACUUAGCAGUAGGUGGAAAUGCGGGAAAGCAAUUGCUAGUUAUUGAAGAUGGGGUGAAUGCAGGAACUAAGGUGGAUUCACACCAGAUAACGAAGGGGGGUCCUCUCAUGGCGAGGUUAAUAUAGAGGAAGAGUCCGCGACAAAGGUUUCUCUCGGUAAGGACUCUAUGGAUUCUUCUCCCGACAUAAAAAAGUGGAAGCAUAGAGCAAGAGCUAAGGGUGUAGUCUCGGGUACCACUACUGUCUUGGCUAAGAGAAGGUUGGAUGGCAAUGAAAGUGCAGUUCAGGGGGACAUCGGAAGGCUUCCAAAGAAGGGCUCAAUCUUGGAAGUUACUUCGUAAGCUCCUUCCUCCUAAUCAGGCUUGGCUUUAUGUAGGACUUUAAUGUUAUCUCCAAUUAUCACGAGAGGGUUGGGGUAGCUCAAAGGAAGGCCAUUUCAUGCAGCGGUUUAACCAAGCCUAUCAAGAUGUGGGCUUGUUUGAUUUAGGCUUUUCAGGGUCAAAAUUUACGUGGACUAACAAGAGAUCUCUUCCAGCGUCUUUCAUCAUGGAAUGCUUAGACAGAGCGAUGGCAAAUGAUGUCUAGUUGAAUACCUUUCAGAAUUUUGAGGUUUAGAAUAUUGCCACUUCUUCAUCCGAUCAUUGUUGUUUGUUAGUCUCAUGGGAGGUGGAGGCUACGCGAAGAUAGUAUACUCGUCCACGUUUCAGGUAUGUUAACUAGUGGGGUAAUUGGCCUGAGUGCAAUAGAAUUAUUCAGCAGCAGUGGCAUCAAAGCGGGGCUGGAGCGUGCCCCAAUUCUAAAAUGCGAGGUCUCCAUAAUAAUUUGUUGGGGUGCCAGAAGAGUAUUCAGAAGUGGGUGGUGAAGUUCAAAAAUGAUCAGAGUAGCCAGACUAGCUCUUUGUAGUCUCAACUUUCUCAAAAUCUCCAUGGUGAGAGCAUUUAGAAUCAAGAAGCGCUUUCUAGGAUUCGUUCUUCCUUGGAUUUUCCUUGGGAGACCGGGGAAAGUAUUCGUAAGCAACAAUCUAAGAUUCAGUGGUUACAGGAGGAGGAUCGAAAUACUAAGUUCUUCCACCAUUGUGUUCAACAAAGGAAAAAGGGUUACCAAAAACGACAAUGAUGGUCGUGAUGAGGAGGAUCAUGAAGAGGAUAUAAUGGAUGAUGCAUAAUAGGGAUUAGGAGUGAACUCUUGACUUCUCUUUGGAAUUUGUGUUAAUUAUUAAUGAACUAGCAAGUAGUUGUUAUUUUGCAUUAUGUUUGAUAAGGUAUGUAAUUUUGUUGUUGCUCGGAUUAUAGCUUUUAUGGAUAUUAAUUUGGUGGGUUGAUUUAGAUUGUGAUGAUUAUAGGAUGUGAAAUAUGUACAU